AGUUAUCGUUUAUUUGAUAGUACCCUACUACAUGGAUACCUGUGGUAAUUCUAGAGCUAAUACAUGCGCAAAACCCCGACUUCGGAAGGGGUGUAUUUAUUAGAUAAAAAACCAAUGCCCUUCGGGGCUCCUUGGUGAUUCAUAAUAACUUCACGAAUCGCAUGGCCUUGCGCCGGCGAUGGUUCAUUCAAAUUUCUGCCCUAUCAACUUUCGAUGGUAGGAUAGUGGCCUACCAUGGUGGCAACGGGUAACGGGGAAUUAGGGUUCGAUUCCGGAGAGGGAGCCUGAGAAACGGCUACCACAUCCAAGGAAGGCAGCAGGCGCGCAAAUUACCCAAUCCCGAUACGGGGAGGUAGUGACAAUAAAUACUGAUACAGGGCUCUUUUGGGUCUUGUAAUUGGAAUGAGAACAAUCUAAAUCCCUUAACGAGGAACAAUUGGAGGGCAAGUCUGGUGCCAGCAGCCGCGGUAAUUCCAGCUCCAAUAGCGUAUAUUAAAGUUGUUGCAGUUAAAAAGCUCGUAGUUGAACCUUGGGCCCGUCCUGCCGGUCCGCCUCACCGCGAGUACUGGUCCCGGAUGGGCCUUUCUUUCUGGGGAAUCCCAUGGCCUUCACUGGCUGUGGCGGGGAACCAGGA
Molecule: ribosomal RNA, 634 nt
Filed under: Talaromyces purpureogenus
Lineage: Eukaryota; Fungi; Ascomycota; Eurotiomycetes; Eurotiales; Trichocomaceae
Description: SSU rRNA
Rfam family: Eukaryotic small subunit ribosomal RNA
Source: RNAcentral